UUCCGUAGGUGAACCUGCGGAAGGAUCAUUCACACGCAUCCAAUCGAAUCAUGUGAACAGUGUGGCGUGAAUGUCUGCUUUGUGGUGAACAACCUGGGGCAGUCGAUUCAAGGGUAGUGGGGCAAGUUUGGUGGCCUUUGUGUCGCCCGGGCUUGUUGGCCUGCUACCACGGGGUUUGACUUAUCAUCUCGGAACUUGAACUUCAUCAUUGGUGGUUUUCCACCAGGUUUACCUUUACACAACUUUCAGCGACGGAUGUCUCGGUUCGAACAACGAUGAAGGGCGCAGCGAAGUGUGAUAAACAUUGUGAAUUGCAGAAUUCCGUGAACCAACAGGGUUUUGAACGCAUACUGCGCUUUCGGGAUAUCCCUGAAAGCAUGCCUGCUUCAGUGUCUACUUCUUAUCAUGCCAGCGGCGCUUUCCUGGCUUCUCGUCAGGUAAAGGCUGUUCUGCGCGUGUCUGUGCAUCUAAGUGCCAGUCCUGGCCUUCGAUGCAUCUAGUGCAUAGGGAAGCUCUCCGGCGAGCAAACAAGUGAGCAUCUCUUCGAUGUCUUCUCUUUGUCUUGCUGUGAGCGGUUUCCCUUAUCUCUAUUGGACGCCUUACGGCGGCCUUCUUUCCAAGACAUGAAGUUAGGUCAGCAAACCCGCUGAAUUUAAGCAUAUCA
This 664-nucleotide ribosomal RNA is filed under the name uncultured eukaryote. Its description in RNAcentral is "eukaryotic LSU rRNA". The stretch from base 241 to 395 matches the Rfam family "5.8S ribosomal RNA". The record is from RNAcentral.